This 253-nucleotide ribosomal RNA is filed under the name uncultured prokaryote. RNAcentral's name for it is "partial 16S ribosomal RNA". It matches the Rfam family "Bacterial small subunit ribosomal RNA", at positions 525 to 777 of the family's 1533-position model. The record is from RNAcentral.
ACGGGGGGGGCAAGCGUUGUUCGGAUUCACUGGGCGUAAAGGGUGCGCAGGUGGGUUUGCAAGUUCGAUGUGAAAGCCCCGGGCUUAACCCGGGAAUGGCAUUGGAUACUGCAGAUCUGGAGGAUCGGAGGGGGGACUGGAAUUCUUGGUGUAGCAGUGAAAUGCGUAGAGAUGCGGAGGAACACCGAUGGCGAAGGCAGCCCCCUGGGCUGACACUGACGCUCAGGCACGAAAGCGUGGGGAGCAAACAGGA